This 2496-nucleotide ribosomal RNA is filed under the name Triticum aestivum (bread wheat). RNAcentral describes it as "partial small subunit ribosomal RNA". The record is from RNAcentral. Lineage: Eukaryota; Viridiplantae; Streptophyta; Magnoliopsida; Poales; Poaceae.
AUGUCUGGCUCCGACCUGCGAGGCCGGGGGAUGCCUUCUUCCAUCACAGAAGAAGAUGUGCUAAAGGUGAGGGACGCCAGGUAUCUAACCGGCGAGAUUUCGCAUAGGCUGCCCGCCAAAGGGCAAGUCAUUCCCACUCCCGAGCCUGGUGAGAGUGUGGUGUUCGUGUCCCACUUCCGUCGGGGUUUAGGCUUCCCGAUGGACCCCUUCGUGAGGGGGCUCAUGUUUUAUUAUGGGCUAGAAUUCCAUGACAUGGCUCCGGAGUCCAUCCUCCACAUCUCAUCGUUCAUUGUUGUAUGCGAAGCCUUCCUCCGCACUACCCCUCACUUCGGAUUGUGGCUCAAGACCUUCAACGUGGAGCCGAAGAUGAUCGAGGGACGGCAGGCAGAGUGCGGAGGGGCAGUUAUAAGCAAGAGGGCUGACGCUCCCUGGCCCGAGGGCUCUUUUCAAGAGGAGCUUGGUUUGUGGCAACAGGAGUGGUUCUACAUCACCGCUCCUAGGGGCACCAGAUGGGUGGCGCCGCCUGCCUUUCGCUCGGGUCCUCCACAACGGCUGACGUCAUGGGUCAACAAAGGGCUUGAUUGGGGGCCAUCCAAGGACGUGCCAUUAUUGCAGGGCCGCAUUCGAGACCUCCAAGAGAGGGAUAUCAAUCUGGUCGUAGUGGCGCAGGUCAUGCUGAUUCGGCGCCUUCUGCCCUGCAAACGUCGCCCCCUCCUCCUGUGGGAAUUCAAUCCGGAGGGACCGCAAGCUCUCCAACACUUCAUGGGUGCGACGCCUGUGGAGAUGUAUAAACUGUUCUUUGGAUCACAAGAGAUGCAUCCGGACUUGACCGAGGACGCAGGCCUGAGCUGCAAUCGCUCGGGUACUCAAGAGUGGAUAGCAAAAGCAAAACUAAUACGGUGUCCGGCCCCCCUCCCUGAGACCACGCCGGAUCCCGUGUUAAUCAGGAUGCUGGAGGCUGCGCCUUCGGAAGAGGGCGAAGGGGGGAACAGGAAAGCCACCUCCGCCAAGGAGGCCCUCAAGAAAGGGGGGAUCGACAAUCCCUCCCUCCCUGGGGAGAAGAGGACCGCUUCUGAAUAUCCAGAGGCCAAGGCCUCAAAGCGAGGGAAGAAAUCUUCACCAGAGGGCCCUGCGCCAGGAGAAGCCCCGGCCGCAUUAUUUCCCCAAGGGAAUCAGCCCUCCAGCGAGCCUUCGGAUCUCAGCCCUUCUCAGCAGAGCUCAUCUUCGGGGGAUCAUCGUCCGGAGAUGAUGGAGAGCGAAAUACCUCCAUCUGCCAUACCAUCAUGCGGGGUGGACGACCCUGAGGUGUCGUCACGGAGGGUUUCCCCGAGUCCGGUGGGACCGAGAGGUCUGGCGCCAACUGGUGUACGGUCGGAGGAGCUGAAGGAUCUGCUCGGGCGAGCGUCUAUCUCAGAAGAUCACCGUGCGUUGAUGGGUACGGUGAUUGAAAGGAUUUCAUCCGCUGAGAGCGGAUUGCAUGAAGCCGUCAGAAGUUUACUGAUGGGGUUUGAGGUGGCGGAGCGUUCGGUGGCCAGCCAGACUGAUGGAGUUGCCGAACUGAAUCGGCAACUUGAUGUUGCGGAUGCGGACAUCGCGCUGGUCAAUAAACAACUUGACGAGUCACAAGAUGGAGCCGCUGCUAUGGAGGACCUUCGGGCGGAGCUUGCCCGAACCAAGCAGCAAGCCAGAAAAAGUAAUGCGGCUACCUUGAAGGCGGCCGAAGAGCUAAAAGCCGAACAGGCUGCUCACUGCCGAAGCAUUGAGGAAAUGGCUGAAAUGACCGUGAAGCUGAAGGAUGCUACCGACCGCUAUGAGUUUCUUGAAAGAGAACACCGAGUAGAGCAAGAAGACCUGAAGAAGGCCACCACCAAAGCCAAGGAUGCCCGUUCCGCGAUGAGGGCUAUAAAGGAGGAGCUCCGUCAGGCCAGGGAUAUUGCGGCGGGAAAGCCUUUUCUGCUGCGUAGGAAAUUCACGGAUCUGAGGUAUGCUCAGUUGGGCCAGUUGUGGGGUGCGGAGGAUGCUUAUCUGAAUUUGGCAGCGAGUGCCGCAGACGCAGUCGCACACUUCCGGGGCCAAAAGGAUCACGGAAUGGAAGAGCUUUUUUGGUCGCAAUUCCAUAGUCCGGAGCGUCCACUUCCAUUAACCGAUCGGUUAGCCGAGUGGGCUGAGCUGAAUAGGUUGUCCGGACUUGCCAUGAAGGAUGUCGUGGCUCAUUUGUGGUCGAACAGGCCCGAGCCGAAGAGUUAUUUUGGCUUGGUGAAGCAGUUCCUUGAUGCGGUGCCGCAUAUCAAGGCGAUGAAGCGGUCGACAUGCAUAGAGGGUGCGCGGAUGGCUCUCGCCCGUGUCAAAACAUACUGGGCAGAGAUGGAGGCCACCAACGUUGCAUCCCAGGAUUCGGACAGAAGCCGAUUACCAGCCGAGCACUAUUUUGAGGAAGUCCUGCAGGGCGCUCGUUUAAUAAAGACGCAAUGCUCGAAAAAUGUUAUGUUCAAAUGA